This 5587-nucleotide long non-coding RNA is filed under the name Jatropha curcas. Its description in RNAcentral is "long non-coding RNA (JCUR_LNC001798)". The record is from RNAcentral. Lineage: Eukaryota; Viridiplantae; Streptophyta; Magnoliopsida; Malpighiales; Euphorbiaceae.
GACACCAAAAACCCCUAAAUCAAGAGGAAAAAAAAUAGCCAUGACUUUUGAAAUAAAGAAUAUGAAGAAGAAGAACAACAGUAAAACAAAGAAUACGAAGAAGAAAAAGAAUGUCAACUAUAAGUAAAAAACUAAAGUUGAUAAUAAUAUUUAGAUUUUUUAAUCUGAGUGUGCUUGUUGUAAAUGAGACUUAUCUAAUUGCACCAAAUGAAAAUGGUCACUUUUGUUGGGGUUGCUUUGUUUGCACCUAUUUCAGCUUCAUCACUUAUAGAGUUGGCUUCAGAUCUGCCAUGGUUGCCCAUUGCUGGUUAUCUUGGCUAUCGCUCCCUCCAACAAAUUCAUCAUCUCUGUUAAGAAUAAUGAAUUAAUAAAAAAACUUGGAAGUUUUUAGAUUUAAGAUAAAGUGAUUGAUUUGCUUAGGAAUUGAAAGAGAGCAAAGGAAAGUUUUGAAAUAAAGAGAAAUGAAGCGUAGUGCUUGGAGAUGAGAUAAAGAUGAAGAUGGCAAUGUUGAUGAUAGGGUAGAUAGGUAGAUGAAUGGUAGAGAUGAGAUGGACAGAUCUGACGUGGCAAAACUAAUUGCCAUUCGGAAUGCAUUUUUCCAUGUCAUCGCGCGUGUAUUACAGUAUGUAUUUUUUAAUGUAGCAAUGUGUGUAAUUAUUAUAAAAAGUAAAGUUUAAGGUGGAAUUAUUAAAAAAAAAAAGUAAAGUUCAAGGGGCCGUAAGGUCAUUUUAAAAAUUGAGGACACAAGAUUUUUUGGUGCAAGUUCAGGGGGCAAUUUAUGUAUUCGGCCUAAAAAUUAGCCAUGGAGAUUCUUACAAGCAUGAAAAAUGGCUCAAAUCAUCACCAAAUCACAUCAAAUUGCAUACAUAGCAUCCCUAGCACUUAUAUUCAAGAAAUAUAACAUCAAAAAAAUGGUUUUUAGCCAUUUAUUUUAGAGUGACAAUAACUGUAUAUUCUUUCCUAGUUUAAAAUACAUGAAUAAAUCAUCAAAUAAAGCAUCUAAGGCAUAAAAGUGAAAGCUUACACAAAGAUCAUGGCAUUUAAUGAAAGAAAAACACAUUUAUACAUACAAAUCUUAAGAAAUCACAUACAAAGAUCCUAAAUAUAUCUAAAAUGAGAAUAAAGCGCUAACCUUGAAUUUUACUAACUCUCCACCACCUCUUUUCCUUUUGAUUUAGAAGAUUCACCUCCUAAAUCAAAGAAAAAGGAACAUUUUUUUUAACAUCUAAGCAUGAACAUAAUUUUUAAGGCAUUAACAUAAUAUAUAUGACAUAAAAUAUAUGGAACUAGCCUUAGUUUAAAAAUAAAAAGAGAAGAAAUAGACAGAAAAGAAGUAGUAACAUAAAAGAGUAACUUUUACCUUAAAGCUUUAAAAUUUCUGGAAAUAAAUUAUAUUAGCUUAUUGGCUAUGAGGAGAGGAAUAACAUAUUCAAAUAUGGUAAGAAGUAGUUGAGUUUAGAGAGGGGAUUGAGGCAUUAGAGUAUUUGGCUAAGGUUUUUAAUAUUCUAUGAGAGAAAGAAGAAAGAAAGAGAAAAGAGAAAAAUGAAAAAGAAAGAGAGAGAGGAGUUAGUGUGUGAGAGAGGAGUGAUUGAGAGAUGAUAAUCUCUAUCUUCACAUGCUUGGAGCAUGUGAACAUGUGGUGCAAUCACAAGUUUUAUGGUGCACCAUAAGCUCUCUUUUUCUAUUGGUUGAUGAGAUUACAUUAGGAUAGGAUAGAGUGAUGUGGAGACUCUUUAUGAUAUGUCAAAUCUCAUUUGUGAUUGGAUGGUGAUGUGGAGAUAAGGUGCACAUUGGUAUUGUAGAAAAAGUGAGAGAUAAGGUGAGUUGGCUUUUGUCUUGUAGUGGCAUGAAAAAUAGUUUGUAUUUAGCUUAUUUUAUCUUUAUUAUAGAUUGUUUGCAAAUUGUUUUUCUCUUUUAAAUUUAAGGCUAGAACCAUAUAUAAACACAUAUAUUAUAUAAUAAUUAAUUGAUAUACUAAUAUAACAAUGUGUUUUCAAAACACGGUCUCAUGACACUAUAAAUUAUCAAAAUGCUCUUGUGGCACUGUAAUUUACCUGAAUCACUAUAAAUAAUUCAUAAUCAUAAUUAAAUCAUACUAAUGCGUAAUUAGGCUCUAAAAAUGAUUUAAUACAUGCUAAUGACAUGUUAUGAAAUUGUGGAUAUGACACUAGUCUACAACAGAUUACAACAAUCUAUAUAGAUAAAGAGAAAUCCAACUAUAAGCACAGAAAGAACAGAAAACAGAUUUUAAAAACAGAAAAUAAGUGCAAAACGGUUCUUUAGAAAGAGUUGUUAACAGAUUUCUUUUCUCUUGAAAAAAAAUAUCUCUUAAAGAAUAUAAAUGAAAAGAAUGAAGGGAGUUGAAGAGAGAGAGCUAUGAGAGAUUUUGAAUUUUGAACAAUGGUCUCUUACUCUUGCCAACACUUGCUUUGAGAGAGGAGAGAGUCUUUAUAAGAAAGAGAGAAAUAAACCCGCUAUAGAUGAUUUGGAGUUUUGCUUUAAAUUGGGAUAAUUGCUUCUGACAUUUAAAUUCAAAAAUUAACUCAAUAUGAGCUGUUGAGGUUCUUCACGCAAGGCAUGGAGCUGAAAGGGUUAACUUCAGAAAGCUUUUUAACUUUUCAAAUAGAAACCAUCAGCUGUGUUCAGAAAAUGUCAGCUGUGUCAGAUCAGAAACUACUUUUUUUUGCAGAAUUUCAUUUAAUAGUCACCAAGGAGAUUUACUCCAAAAAUCUUUUAAAUAAGAAAACAUGAAAAGCAAAGAUUUUGGCUGCCUCUUAAUAAAUUUAUUCAAAAGCAUUUUAAAAAUAAUUUUUAAGAGAAAUAAAAUAUAUUUGUGCUUAUAACAUUAUUUACUUCCUAUCCUAUAAUAAUUUUCUAAGACUUAAUAUAAUACUAACCAAAACAAAAUAUCUUUAUUAAUCUUCAAGGUCUUCAAAAUAAAGAUCUUGGAUUGUAGGAGCUUCAUUUCUUCAAUAGUUUUCAUCAAUAAUUUCUGCAUAAAAAUCUUUAGCACAACAUAAAAAUUAAAUUUAUUUGGUUUGCAUAAUCAUCAAAUCUGAGGAUAAAAUUGACAUUGAGCCAACAAUCUCCCUCUUUUUGAUGAUGAUACAAUCACUAAUUUUAUCAAGGAUAAGAACAUGUGCUCCCCCUGAGUUUAAGCAAAUUAACAAAAUACAAGUUCUAAAUUCAACAGAUUUAUCAUAAAGCAAGAUUAGAACUCAUAUAAACUCCCCAUGAAUAAGUGCAAUUUAAGCCUAAGGGAUUUAGAACAUAAUACAAAUCAAAAACUGACUUUAGAAUUAGAACUAAAGUUCUAAAGUCUAACAAUCAGAGACAUUCCUCAAUACAAGCAUAUUCUGUUCACAUAGAAACAAAACAUUAGAACAAAAAGAAUCACAGAUUAGAACAUGGUAAGCACAAAGAUUAAGUACUUUAAAAAAAAUAUUGAGUUUUCCAACAAGUACGCAAGCAUUAAGAGUAUACAGUGUUCUCCCCCUUUUUGUCAUCAUAAAAGAGGGGUAAAAAAAAUUCAACACAAAUAGACUGAAAUUAAAAAUUAACUAAGUUAAACAUAAUUUUACAAUACAAACAGAAAAAUUCAAAGUGUUCACAAAACAGAUAUAAAUAGAGAUAAAAUAAGGCAACAACAAUAAGCAAUAAGCAAUAAGCGAAAGUAAAACAACAACCAUAAACAAAUGUUCACAAAUACAAAGACACAAAGCAAGUUAUUAUAAGUCUUAAAAAAAUUUUGUCAGAAAAGGUUGGGAAAGAGAUAAUUGGCUUUCUAGUUUAGUUAUGGGCCUUUUUUAUCUUUUGAGGUUUUGAGCAGGUGAGGGAUCAAAUGAGUCCAUGGAUCUUUUGGAAGAGGGAUAUAGAGGAGAUUUUCCUCUUCAGUCAGGCUGCCUUUCUAUAGUGCGUUUCAACCUUUUUGGUUUUUCAGAUGAUGGAGUGUAAGGUGUAGUUUUUACUUUGAGAGUAGCCAAUCUCCUUGCAUUUAUAUCUUUCAUUCUCUCCAUAGAAGUAAUCAAUAUUGAGUAUGAGCCAUAACUACUUUGCUAGCUUAAUGGCUUCAUCAAGCGCAUUAUUAUGCUCCUUGAUGAGCUGCUUCUCUAUCUCAGCCAAGGCUGAUUCUCUAUUUUUCUGAGCAAGAGUCUUUUUAGCUUCUGUUUUUGGCUCUAUUUCUUCUUCAUCACUUAUGUCUAGCUUUUCAGUCUCAGCAUCACUAGCCGCGUCAACUAUAACAUCUUCCUUAUCCUUUCUUGUUUCCUCAGGUUCAUUUCCUCUAAGAUCCACAAAAUCCCCUUUAUCUCGAGGAACAUCCUUUUCAGUUUCUGCUUUCUUUUCUUCCUUCUUUCCUUGAUCUUCUUCUUUUUCUUUUUCUGAUUCAGUCCUUUCUCUUUUUCUUUUUCAAUCUCUUCUAACUUUUCCUUUCCUUUUUCUAAUCUCCUCUUUUUCUUCUCAAACUUAGCUUUCUCCUUUUCUAGGCUCAACUUCUUCUUUCUAAACUGACAUUCUUUUUUUCUAUUAUAACUUUCUCAAAUUGUUUUUUUUCUACAACCUCUACCUUUCCUUUUCCUUUUCCUUUCUCUUAAUCUUCAUCAUCCUCUUCUUCUUUUUCAUCCUUUAACUUCAAAGAAUUAUUAUCUAAUUUGGACACACUAUAACACUUCCUUCUUUCCAGACUUACUCCUAAAAAAUCAAAAAUAGGGGUCAACACCAUUCCAUAGGGUAGUUUCUUUGGGUUAUCACCAUCUUAUCAAAGAUUGCAUAACACAAGUUAAAUGGCUUUUUCUCCAUAAUGUGCCACGAUAAGCAAAGUUUUUAACUUGAUUCACAUAAGUGAGAGAUCCACUUUUGGGAUAAAUGUAAUGUACUAUCAAUGUAUACAUGCAUUUUAUGUUUUCUUGAAGAUCAGAACAAUCGAUCACAGAUUGCUUUUCUACAGACCUUUUCUUUGUUAUUUUCUUAAUGAAUUCUUCCUUUUUGUACUCAUGUAAUUUAGUAGUCUUUUGAAUCCUAGUUGCUUUAGAUCGAAGAUCUGGAAUUUUGAAAAUACUACUAAGGUUAGCGAUGGUCAGGACUCUAAUUUCCCCAUUCAUUUUCACAGAGAAAGCAUCAAAACUGAUUCCCCUAAGAGAUCUAUAAAAUUCUUUAACCACAUUCUUAUAACAGGGUUCAUUCAAGAACAGAAAGUUCAUCCACCCUUGAAACUCAAACAAAUCCUUAAAUCUAAACUCUGAUUUUCUAAAGAAUUUCCAAUCUACCUCAUAAGAUCACAUUAGGGAGUUUGGAAAUAGAAUUGAUUUACCUUUACCACAAGAAACAGUUUCCUUUUCUGUCUUCUUCUUCUUUUCUUUGGCUUUCUCAAUUUUUGACAUUGCUUUCUCCUUUUUUAAACUUGACUGAGAGAUAGAUCUCAGAAGUUUCGGCUUUAGUUUCUUGUAUUUCUUGGUUAGUUCAAUAAGGAGUUCUAGUUCUUUAGUGGUCAUGGUUCCAGAAAAGGAAGAAUAUGAUCCAGACAUGACUUUCUAGUUUUUGGUUCUAUAAAGCUUUAGGGUUUUGUUGGGAGAGAGAAGAGAAGAACGCG